RNAcentral lists this transfer-messenger RNA (127 nucleotides) under Actinomycetota bacterium. Its description in RNAcentral is "partial transfer-messenger RNA". It matches the Rfam family "transfer-messenger RNA", at positions 1 to 122 of the family's 374-position model. From Rfam's summary of the family: Bacterial tmRNA, also known as 10Sa RNA or SsrA, is named for its dual tRNA and mRNA-like properties. Its role is to liberate the mRNA from a stalled ribosome. The record is from RNAcentral. Lineage: Bacteria; Bacillati; Actinomycetota.
GGGGGUGAUUGGUCUCGACAGCGGCUGUCGAGUGAGGUGAAGCGGGCCGAGGAAGGCAACGAUGAUCUCGUAAACCAUCCGUUGCAAAAAAAUCAAGCGCCGACAACAGUCAGCGCGAGUUCGCCCU